Molecule: ribosomal RNA, 465 nt
Filed under: uncultured bacterium
Lineage: Bacteria
Description: partial 16S ribosomal RNA
Rfam family: Bacterial small subunit ribosomal RNA
Source: RNAcentral
GACGAACGCUGGCGGCGUGCUUAACACAUGCAAGUCGUACGGUAAGGCCCUUUCGGGGGUACACGAGUGGCGCACGGGUGAGUAACACGUGAGUAACCUGCCCACAACUUUGGGAUAACGCUAGGAAACUGGUGCUAAUACUGGAUAUGUGCUCCUGCUGCAUGGUGGGGGUUGGAAAGCUCCGGCGGUUGUGGAUGGACUCGCGGCCUAUCAGCUUGUUGGUGGGGUAGUGGCCUACCAAGGCGGCGACGGGUAGCCGGCCUGAGAGGGUGACCGGCCACAUUGGGACUGAGAUACGGCCCAGACUCCUACGGGAGGCAGCAGUGGGGAAUAUUGCACAAUGGGCGCAAGCCUGGUGCAGCAACGCCGCGUGCGGGAUGACGGCCUUCGGGUUGUAAACCGCUUUCAGCAGGGACGAAGCUUUUUGUGACGGUACCUGCAGAAGAAGCACCGGCUAACUACGUG